AUCCGGAUGACGAGUCUCAAACAAGACGAAAUACGCAUCCUGGAU
This 45-nucleotide non-coding RNA is filed under the name Trichobilharzia regenti. Lineage: Eukaryota; Metazoa; Platyhelminthes; Trematoda; Strigeidida; Schistosomatidae. The record is from RNAcentral.